AAGUUUAGGCAACUCAUACCGAAGACAGCAGGUGCAAUCAGCUUAAUUUCCUGCCGAGGCUAAUGUCAUAAAAUUUUAAUUUCUCUUACUAUACGAUACACAGCAGUGGUAAGUAGAAAUUAUAAGGCAUGACCUCUGGCAAACAGCUAGAGGUCUUUUUUAUUGGUGUA
This 170-nucleotide small RNA is filed under the name Hyella patelloides LEGE 07179. RNAcentral's name for it is "L10_leader". It matches the Rfam family "Ribosomal protein L10 leader". From Rfam's summary of the family: This family is a putative r-protein leader autoregulatory structure found in B. subtilis and other low-GC Gram-positive bacteria. Lineage: Bacteria; Bacillati; Cyanobacteriota; Cyanophyceae; Pleurocapsales; Pleurocapsaceae. The record is from RNAcentral.